UACGGAGGAUGCGAGCGUUAUCCGGAUUUAUUGGGUUUAAAGGGUGCGUAGGCGGGAUGCCAAGUCAGCGGUAAAAAUGCGGUGCUCAACGCCGUCGAGCCGUUGAAACUGGCGUUCUUGAGUGGGCGAGAAGUAUGCGGAAUGCGUGGUGUAGCGGUGAAAUGCAUAGAUAUCACGCAGAACUCCGAUUGCGAAGGCAGCAUUCCGGCGCCCUACUGACGCUGAGGCACGAAAGCGUGGGUAUCGAACAGG
RNAcentral lists this ribosomal RNA (252 nucleotides) under uncultured bacterium. RNAcentral describes it as "partial 16S ribosomal RNA". It matches the Rfam family "Bacterial small subunit ribosomal RNA", at positions 524 to 776 of the family's 1533-position model. The record is from RNAcentral.